AGAAUCAACGCUGGCGGCGUGCCUAACACAUGCAAGUCGAACGAGAAAGUGGAGCAAUCCAUGAGUAAAGUGGCGCACGGGUGAGUAACACGUGACUAACCUACCCUCGAGUGGGGAAUAACUUCGGGAAACCGAGGCUAAUACCGCAUAAAACCUAAGGGUCAAAGGAGCAAUCCGUUUGAGGAGGGGGUCGCGGCAGAUUAGUUAGUUGGCGGGGUAAUGGCCCACCAAGACGAUGAUCUGUAUCCGGCCUGAGAGGGCGCACGGACACACUGGAACUGAAACACGGUCCAGACUCCUACGGGAGGCAGCAGUGGGGAAUUUGCGCAAUGGGGGAAACCCUGACGCAGCAACGCCGCGUGGAGGAUGAAAUCCCUUGGGAUGUAAACUCCUUUCGAUCGGGGAGAUAAUGACGGUACCGGAAGAAGAAGCCCGGCUAACUUCGCGCCAGCAGCCGC
RNAcentral lists this ribosomal RNA (458 nucleotides) under uncultured bacterium. Its description in RNAcentral is "SSU rRNA". It matches the Rfam family "Bacterial small subunit ribosomal RNA", at positions 26 to 518 of the family's 1533-position model. The record is from RNAcentral.